UGACGGCUGGGGUGAGCUGUAAAAUCUUGUACAAUUCGUACGACACGACAUGCUCCAGUCUUUGCGAUGUUCAACAGCGAAUGGUGCGAGUCAUAAGGCACAGUCCGUGACGGGGUGACCGUCCCGGCGUUUCCCGUCGAUCCUUAUGUCGCGUCCCGUUGCGCCCCGUCGAAUGUGAACUGGGCUUAACAAUGGCAUGGAGACAGUUUCAAUUGCAGUUUAAUGUUACUGCACUGCACUGCAGGUAUCAAGGCACUACCCAGAGGGAGGAUGUUGGCCUUCUCCUGAUGGGAAAAUGUCUUCUUUCUCAUGGCGUGGCCAGGACUGCACUGACCCUACCAUCCACUCUACCUCUCCGGAAAGGGACUUGACAACCAGUCAAGAUGGAUGUGCAGAGAUAUACCAGCGCUUCUAGCAUUAACUGCCAAUUUGCACUGACGCAGCAAGACUCCCAACAGUCAAAAAGAAUAAUAUAGACGUGCAGAAAAUGUAGGAGAGCGAUGACAUCAGAAGGACACUCUCAGGUUCAGGGUACCUGUACUGCCCCAAUAAAUUGGGUCAGAUC
Long non-coding RNA from Sycon ciliatum, 565 nucleotides. RefSeq lists it as uncharacterized. The transcript is spliced from 3 exons. NCBI's taxonomy places the organism in Eukaryota, Metazoa, Porifera, Calcarea, Leucosolenida, Sycettidae. The record is from RefSeq and is a predicted model, not a curated record.